Molecule: long non-coding RNA, 404 nt
Organism: Mastomys coucha (southern multimammate mouse)
Lineage: Eukaryota; Metazoa; Chordata; Mammalia; Rodentia; Muridae
Exons: 3
Source: RefSeq, a predicted model, not a curated record
CAGCCAGAGGUAUCAUGAUGCCAGUUGCAGCAAAAUGCCAUUAGCAGUGUUUUACAUAAGAAUGCCACACAAUCAUGAACGUGCUUCUUCUGGCUAGUUUCUCUAAGGUCUGAUAUACCAGCAGCUGAGAAGCUACAAUUAGGAUGUAAACACUUCACUGAUAUAAAGAAAGAACACUAAGACCAUCUUCUAUGACAAUGGCAGACUACUUCACUCGAUCGAAGGGUCAUCCAAGAGGGAAAAGAAUAGAGAAAGAAAGAAAUUCAGCACAGUAAACAAGACCCUAUGUAGAGUCUUUUAUUUCUUCAUUCUGUACAAACUUCUUUCAACUCCAAGUCAAAGGGAUUUGCUUCUAAUCGGUGAAGAGAAAUAGAGAGUAUACAAAAAAGAAUCAUUUGGAGAAA